AGAAAAGCAGCUGGGCAUGGUGGCUCACACCUGUAAUCCCAACACUUUGGGAGGCCGAGGUUGGUGGAUCACCUGAGGGUCUCACUGUGUCACUCAGGUGGGAGUGCAGUGCCAUGAUCAUAGCCCACUGCUGCCUUGAUCUCCUGAGCUUAAGCGAUCCUCCCGGCCUCAGCCUCCAGAGUAGCUGGAACUACAGCACCCUAGAAGGAGAAUGACAGUAACCUGGAGUUCAUCUCUUUAAAAGAAACACCAGUCAGGGAUGGAGAUGUCUGCUCAUGGAUGAGAAGUUGCUUCUCUAGAAUUCACAUCGUGAACCAUUCAAGGUUUUUCAUCACUGCUCUCCGUCAGCUAUUCAAUCAAGCAUUGAGUUUCUAGAAUCUCUCCCAGAAAUAAAAGCUGACCAUACCCACCUACC
Molecule: long non-coding RNA, 415 nt
Filed under: Homo sapiens (human)
Lineage: Eukaryota; Metazoa; Chordata; Mammalia; Primates; Hominidae
Description: HSALNT0296014
Source: RNAcentral